GGGGCCGUAGCUCAAUUGGGAGAGCGCCUGCUUUGCAAGCAGGAGGUCGUCGGUUCGAUCCCGUCCGGCUCCA
This 73-nucleotide transfer RNA is filed under the name Pseudoxanthobacter soli DSM 19599. It matches the Rfam family "tRNA". From Rfam's summary of the family: Transfer RNA (tRNA) molecules are approximately 80 nucleotides in length. Their secondary structure includes four short double-helical elements and three loops (D, anti-codon, and T loops). Further hydrogen bonds mediate the characteristic L-shaped molecular structure. tRNAs have two regions of fundamental functional importance: the anti-codon, which is responsible for specific mRNA codon recognition, and the 3' end, to which the tRNAs corresponding amino acid is attached (by aminoacyl-tRNA synthetases). tRNAs cope with the degeneracy of the genetic code in two manners: having more than one tRNA (with a specific anti-codon) for a particular amino acid; and 'wobble' base-pairing, i.e. permitting non-standard base-pairing at the 3rd anti-codon position. The record is from Rfam by way of RNAcentral. Lineage: Bacteria; Pseudomonadati; Pseudomonadota; Alphaproteobacteria; Hyphomicrobiales; Segnochrobactraceae.